UACGGAGGGUGCAAGCGUUAUCCGGAAUCACUGGGUUUAAAGGGUGCGCAGGCGGACUAGCAAGUCAGAGGUGAAAGCCCCGAGCUUAACUUGGGAACUGCCUUUGAUACUGCUGGUCUUGAAUAUAGUUGAGGUGGGCGGAAUGUGACGUGUAGCGGUGAAAUGCUUAGAUAUGUCCCAGAACACCGAUUGCGAAGGCAGCUCACUAAACUAUUAUUGACGCUCAGGCACGAAAGCGUGGGGAGCAAACAGG
RNAcentral lists this unclassified non-coding RNA (253 nucleotides) under uncultured Chitinophagales bacterium. Its description in RNAcentral is "contains 16S-23S intergenic spacer region". It matches the Rfam family "Bacterial small subunit ribosomal RNA", at positions 524 to 776 of the family's 1533-position model. Lineage: Bacteria; Pseudomonadati; Bacteroidota; Chitinophagia; Chitinophagales. The record is from RNAcentral.